GUGAGGAAUAUUGGUCAAUGGGCGGGAGCCUGAACCAGCCAAGUCGCGUGAAGGAAGAAGGAUCUAUGGUUCGUAAACUUCUUUUGCAGGGGAAUAAAGUACGGUACGUGUACCGUUUUGUAUGUACUCUGCGAAUAAGGAUCGGCUAACUCCGUGCCAGCAGCCGCGGUAAUACGGAGGAUCCAAGCGUUAUCCGGAUUUAUUGGGUUUAAAGGGUGCGCAGGCGGGUUGAUAAGUCAGCGGUGAAAGUUUGCAGCUUAACUGUAAAAUUGCCGUUGAAACUGUCGAUCCUGAGUGCAAAUGAGGUAAGCGGAAUGUGUUGUGUAGCGGUGAAAUGCUUAGAUAUAACACAGAACACCGAUUGCGAAGGCAGCUUACUGGGAUGCAACUGACGCUCAUGCACGAAAGCGUGGGGAUCAAACAGGAUUAGAUACCCGAGUAGUCC
Molecule: ribosomal RNA, 445 nt
Filed under: uncultured bacterium
Lineage: Bacteria
Description: partial 16S ribosomal RNA
Rfam family: Bacterial small subunit ribosomal RNA
Source: RNAcentral